UGGGGGGGGGCGCGCCCCGUCUUCGUCACCGCGCUGCAGCACUGCCGCACCGCUAAUUUCCUCCCUGGCCUCCACCUCGUCACCUACCAGCAGCCCCGCAACGAUUCCCAGCCUGACAAGGUCUCCAUCGUCCGCAGCACCACCAUCACGCUCAGCCCCAGCGGCGACACUGACGUCUCCCUUGUUUACCGGGGCUUCAUCUACCCGCUGCUGGGACCCCCCCUCGUCCCCGGCCCUGGCCCCAGCGUUUGGGCUCGCAUACAGCGCCUCUAUGUCGUUGCCCGCCUUGGACGGCACCCCAACUCCCCCGAGCUGGAGGAGGUGGGUCGCUGGUCAGUGCAGCAGGAACGGGAGACGCGUCCCCUGCAGCGUCCGCGCCCUGAGCGGCUUUUUGGGGCACCCGAGCGGGGCAACAAGUACGCGGUGCAGGUGGAGGGACACUUCAACAGCUCGGGCAGCGGGCAGAGCAG
Haliaeetus leucocephalus (bald eagle) is the source of this 470-nucleotide long non-coding RNA. RefSeq lists it as uncharacterized. The record is from RefSeq and is a predicted model, not a curated record. The transcript is spliced from 3 exons. NCBI's taxonomy places the organism in Eukaryota, Metazoa, Chordata, Aves, Accipitriformes, Accipitridae.